This 178-nucleotide ribosomal RNA is filed under the name uncultured bacterium. Its description in RNAcentral is "partial 16S ribosomal RNA". It matches the Rfam family "Bacterial small subunit ribosomal RNA", at positions 1321 to 1500 of the family's 1533-position model. The record is from RNAcentral.
UGAAGUCGGAAUUGCUAGUAAUGGCAGGUCAGCAUACUGCCGUGAAUACGUUCCCGGGCCUUGUACACACCGCCCGUCACACCAUGAGAGUUGGGAAUACCCGAAGCCUGUGAGCCAACAAACGAGGCAGCAGUCGAAGGUAGAAUCAAUGAUUGGGGUGAAGUCGUAACAAGGUAAC